This 253-nucleotide long non-coding RNA is filed under the name Citrus sinensis (sweet orange). RNAcentral's name for it is "long non-coding RNA (CSIN_LNC004371)". Lineage: Eukaryota; Viridiplantae; Streptophyta; Magnoliopsida; Sapindales; Rutaceae. The record is from RNAcentral.
GAAGAGAAGAAGUCAAAGUUUCUGUUGGUGUUUUCCUAAAGUUUAGCUGCUUUCAGUUAAAAUAAAUCCUAGUCUUUAGGAUAUGCUUGUUACUACUUUCAAGUUGUUAGUUAGUGUUAGCACGUUGCUGCAGUGGCAAAUGUGAGCUAAUAUUUCGCUUUUCUGUUAUUAUGUAAAGGCUAUUUAUAAAGCCUCAGUUUGUUCAAUAAGAUAAGGAAUCAUUCCCACGAUUAUUGAGUUUCUUGUUGCUUUA